Non-coding RNA from Acanthosepion pharaonis, 88 nucleotides. Lineage: Eukaryota; Metazoa; Mollusca; Cephalopoda; Sepiida; Sepiidae. The record is from the annotation of a GenBank genome assembly.
UGAAACACUGGUUCUCAUAUGAUCACCAAAGUUAAGCAAUGUUGAGCUUGGGUUGUAUCUGGAUGGGUGACUGCUUGGAAGUAUGGGU